Schizothecium vesticola is the source of this 80-nucleotide non-coding RNA. The record is from the annotation of a GenBank genome assembly. Lineage: Eukaryota; Fungi; Ascomycota; Sordariomycetes; Sordariales; Schizotheciaceae.
GAUCCACUGGCUCAAUGGCAGAGCGUCUGACUACGAUUUGUAUCAAUCAGGAGGUUCUAGGUUCACCCCUGGGUGGAUCG